UAGACUUUGCAUCAAAUUACUGCGUACACGGUCAUUGUGUACAUAAUGCUUCCUUUCACAGACCUUUCUCCCUCCCCCAACGUUCAUGCUUUUUUUUUUCCCCUUUUCUUCUCUUCCCUCUCUCCUGACCUUCCUUCUUCCUUUCAUCUUCUUUUUUUUCCCUGCCACUCCCCCUCCCCUCCACCUUCUUCCUUCUCCUCCCUUCCUCCUUCACCCUGCGCAGCCCUCCGCCGCGACCGUCUGCGUCCCUCCGCCGCGACUAUUCGCAGUCACCUCCAAAUAUGUUAGAGAUCUUCAGGGUUUUGUACCCUAGAGAUCUCUGAUUCCCCCUUAUUGAAAGAUCUACACAAGGCCAAAUCUUGAGCUCAAGAUCUAGCACUAAAGUUGCUCUUAUGCGUUUAUGAGGUGUUGCAGGGGUUGUUUUGUUUUGGGGAGUGGGGAAGGGAUUAAUUAAAGGUGUUUGCGGUGGGGUUUAUAGUCCUCGUGAGCUGAGCAGGAAAAAAGCAAGAGUGGGAGGAGAUUAUUAGGAUUAAGAAUGAGAUGGGAGGGGAAAGAUGGUGCAUUGUUGGGGACUUCAAUGCUGUUUGUAGUGAGGAGGAAAGGAAAGGGGUGGAGACGAAUCCGAGAAGGAUGGAAAUGAUGUAGUUUUGUGGUGAACCUAGCCUUAGUUGGUAGAAAAUAUAAUUGGUACAAAGAUGACAAAACAACUAUGAGCAGGUUGGACAGGUUUUUGGUAUAUGAGGAAUGACUAACCACAUGGCCAAAUAUGACCCAAUCCAUAACUAAGAAGGAUAUGCAGGGAGAAGAGAAAUUGAAAGCUAAAAUAGAGAUUGAAAAAAAAAGGGUUGAAACGAUUUAAGAACAAGAGCAUGAAUUUUGAAAUUUAAAAGCGAUUCAAAGAAUGUAGUUGGCAAGCGUGAGAUUUAAGGACAUAAAUUCUGAUAGUGAAGAAUUUGAAAGUGUAGAGAGAUGGGCAUAAAUUCUCAGGAAAAUCUUGGAACUCACAAGAAUUGAAAAGCCUCACUUGACAUAGUGCUUUCUUACUUCUCAAAGAGUUUUCUUCUGCAAUUCUGCCAUAGGUUUUACGUUUUCUCUCGUAAUUGUUUUAGUGGGUUGUAGUUGAGCACGUGGAAAUUCCAAUGCAUGUUGUUGGUUGUUUUAAUAAGAAGAAGAUAAAGAGUUGUGACUGUAUAAUUAUAAUUAUUGAAUAAAGAGUCGAAUAUUUGUCUUGUUUA
Glycine soja is the source of this 1235-nucleotide long non-coding RNA. RefSeq lists it as uncharacterized. The record is from RefSeq and is a predicted model, not a curated record. NCBI's taxonomy places the organism in Eukaryota, Viridiplantae, Streptophyta, Magnoliopsida, Fabales, Fabaceae. The transcript has 2 exons.